UGUAAGACUGAGCACUGAGCUCGGUUAAGCCCACUGAAACUCAAGCGAUCCAGGAUGGAGGAAAGCCUAUGAAAUCUGGACAUCAGAGCCCUGCUGAUCUACCUAGCACUCCACCUCUGAAUUGCUGCAUCAGACCAAGCCUAGGAGGCCUGGGGAGCCAAGGACAUCCCACACAGCACGUUGAUCACCCGAAUGGAAUUUUACACGUGCUGGGGAAGAGCAGGUUUCCUUAAUUUGCCUAAAGCCAUGGGAAGGUCCGAAUUCCUUCUCCCAGCUCUAGAAGCCUGGGUUUUGUUUGUUUGAAGUCUCACGUUGCAGGGACCAGCCUGCACCGUCCAUUCCUACCGCUCGGAAGUCUGCAGAGGGCAUCAGGUCUUCCUUGGCAAUAAACGUUUAAAACCACCUC
Molecule: long non-coding RNA, 406 nt
Filed under: Mus caroli (Ryukyu mouse)
Lineage: Eukaryota; Metazoa; Chordata; Mammalia; Rodentia; Muridae
Description: RIKEN cDNA 1700126H18 gene (MGP_CAROLIEiJ_G0003680.1)
Source: RNAcentral